AUUAAAGAGAACAUUGAAAUCUACAAUACCUCUUCUAUCGACGACUUAACAAUUAAUAUUUUUAUCGACUAUUGGUAUGUUUUUUAAUUUGGCAGAUGCACAGUUUUCGUCUUAAUUUUAAGUAAAAAAAAGGAAAACAAUUAAAACAUGAAUUUGAGGCUCGAUUCAAGCACGGGAUAUUUUCGGAAAAGGUUAUUGUCGCUGGAUACACAGUUUUAAGAGCGCAAUUUGCUGGCAAAGAGGACGUGAUUUUUAUAGUUGGUCUAAACUAUCGACGUUCUGCCCUGCAGCAUUCUAGUGGCAACAAUUGUCGCUUGCGUCAAUGUUACGUCAUUGGUACUGAAGCACGUAGUCUAGGCUAUGGAUAACGAAUUGAUUUUACGUAAAACACUGUAUUAGAACCCUAAAAAUAUUUCAGUAAUAUUGAAGAAGGAAACGAUAUAUACGAGACUUUUUAUUAUCGAAACGAAAGUGUCGGUUUAAUUGUACCGGAAGAACAUUCUGUUGGGAGGGAAAAGGGGAAAGGAAGAGAGUCUACUCAUUUGCGUCAUGAUCUAUUAUGCUGGCUGAAUGCCGGCUGCGAUAUAGUGAUCUUGAUAGAAACAUGGCAAUUUUCGUAAUAUAUGAAUUAUUAUUGUUAAUCUACAAAUCAUGAGAUUUCGAAAUCGGAAAAAGUAUUUAAACAAAUAGACUUGUUUGUUAUUAGAUUAUUUGGUGAUCAACAAAGUCAAAAUCGACGUAUUAUUUGUGUACUAAAUUAAAUUCAUGUUUUUCAUUCGCAUUUCAUUUUUUAUUACUGCAGGCUUUUGAAUACGCGUUUAGAGAUGUGUGCUUGAUUCGAUCGAGAUAACUGAGUAUAUUCUUAAGUA
This is a long non-coding RNA of Bombus huntii, 869 nucleotides long. RefSeq lists it as uncharacterized. The transcript is spliced from 2 exons. Lineage: Eukaryota; Metazoa; Arthropoda; Insecta; Hymenoptera; Apidae. The record is from RefSeq and is a predicted model, not a curated record.